UGGGGAAUUUUGGACAAUGGGGGCAACCCUGAUCCAGCAACGCCGCGUGAAUGAAGAAGGCCUUCGGGUUGUAAAGUUCUUUUAUUUGCGAGCAAAAGUUAUGUAUGAAUAGUAUAUGACGAUGAGAGUAGCAAAGGAAUAAGCACCGGCUAACUACGUGCCAGCAGCCGCGGUAAUACGUAGGGUGCGAGCGUUAAUCGGAAUUACUGGGCGUAAAGGGUGCGUAGGCGGAUAUAUAAGUUAGAUGUGAAAAGCCCGGGCUUAACCUUGGUCGUGCAUUUAAGACUGUAUGUCUAGAGUUUGUAAGAGGGGUGUAGAAUUCCAAGUGUAGCAGUGAAAUGCGUAGAGAUUUGGAGGAAUACCGAUGGCGAAGGCAGCACCCUGGUAUAGAACUGACGCU
Molecule: ribosomal RNA, 400 nt
Filed under: uncultured bacterium
Lineage: Bacteria
Description: bacterial SSU rRNA
Rfam family: Bacterial small subunit ribosomal RNA
Source: RNAcentral